RNAcentral lists this ribosomal RNA (492 nucleotides) under uncultured bacterium. Its description in RNAcentral is "partial 16S ribosomal RNA". It matches the Rfam family "Bacterial small subunit ribosomal RNA", at positions 29 to 507 of the family's 1533-position model. The record is from RNAcentral.
AGUGAACGCUGGCGGUAGGCCUAACACAUGCAAGUCGAACGGCAGCACAGUAAGAGCUUGCUCUUACGGGUGGCGAGUGGCGGACGGGUGAGGAAUACAUCGGAAUCUACUUUUUCGUGGGGGAUAACGUAGGGAAACUUACGCUAAUACCGCAUACGACCUACGGGUGAAAGCAGGGGAUCUUCGGACCUUGCGCGAUUGAAUGAGCCGAUGUCGGAUUAGCUAGUUGGCGGGGUUAAGGCCCACCAAGGCGACGGUCCGUAGCUGGUCUGAGAGGAUGAUCAGCCACACUGGAACUGAGACACGGUCCAGACUCCUACGGGAGGCAGCAGUGGGGAAUAUUGGACAAUGGGCGCAAGCCUGAUCCAGCCAUACCGCGUGGGUGAAGAAGGCCUUCGUGUUGUAAAGCCCUUUUGUUGGGAAAGAAAAGCAGCAGGUUAAUACCCCGCUGUUCUGAGGGUACCCAAAGAAUAAGCACCGGCUAACUUCGUG